Molecule: ribosomal RNA, 292 nt
Filed under: uncultured bacterium
Lineage: Bacteria
Description: partial 16S ribosomal RNA
Rfam family: Bacterial small subunit ribosomal RNA
Source: RNAcentral
GUGCCAGCCGCCGCGGUAAUACAGAGGGUGCGAGCGUUGUUCGGAAUUAUUGGGCGUAAAGGGCGCGUAGGCGGCGCGGUAAGUCACCUGUGAAAUCUCCCGGCUCAACUGGGAGCUUGCAGGCGAAACUGCCGUGCUCGAGUAUGGGAGAGGUGCGUGGAAUUCCUUGUGUAGCGGUGAAAUGCGUAGAUAUCAGGAGGAACACCUGUGGCGAAAGCGUCGCACUGGACCAUAACUGACGCUGAGGCGCGAAAGCUAGGGGAGCAAACAGGAUUAGAUACCCGAGUAGUCC